Non-coding RNA from Pelobates cultripes (western spadefoot toad), 237 nucleotides. Lineage: Eukaryota; Metazoa; Chordata; Amphibia; Anura; Pelobatidae. The record is from the annotation of a GenBank genome assembly.
CCCACGCAAAUUUAUAUGUUGUUUUAAUAAACUUCCUGUCUUCACUAUCCAUAUUACUUGCCAUUAUCGUGGUUUUAUUUAUAUUUAAUUUAUAAUUUGAAUAUUCACUAUAAUUACCCAGUGCCUUAAUCAGUUCCGGCAAAGAUGACCUUGGAUUUUGUAAAGUAAGCAAGACAUCAUCAGCAUAUAAAUUAACUUUAUGUUCUGUCUUUUUUAUCUUAAAACCCUCGAUCUUUU